CCAAAUUAAAAAAAAAAAAAUUUGAAGACCAUCUUUGCGUAGGAGCACUUUCUGCAACACAUUCGGCCGCCGAACUUCAUCAACCUUCGGCCGCCGAACCUCAUCCUCAUUCUGCCGCUGAACAUCUCACCAAGGCACAGUCACCAUCGCAGAUCUGAAUCAUGGAUGAGGUAAGUAGAUCUGAUUUUUCUUUACUGACAUCUUUUAUGGAAGAAUUUGCCAUAGGACUAGUUCAACAGGUUCAAGCAUCC
Molecule: long non-coding RNA, 251 nt
Filed under: Manihot esculenta (cassava)
Lineage: Eukaryota; Viridiplantae; Streptophyta; Magnoliopsida; Malpighiales; Euphorbiaceae
Description: long non-coding RNA (MESC_LNC000337)
Source: RNAcentral